This is a non-coding RNA of Thermoactinomyces sp. Gus2-1, 192 nucleotides long. NCBI's taxonomy places the organism in Bacteria, Bacillati, Bacillota, Bacilli, Caryophanales, Thermoactinomycetaceae. The record is from Rfam.
GAAGUGAAUAGAAGAAAAGGUCUUUCUCCGAUGGGAGAAAGGUAAUAGGGAAGACCGGUUGGAAUCCGGCGCGGCCCCGCCACUGUAUUUGGGGAGGACGGCUCUUAAUGCCACUGUUUUCGCAAGAAAAUGGGAAGGCGAGCCUGACGAUGACCCAUAAGCCAGGAGACCUGCCUUUUCUGUUUACUUACG